Molecule: transfer RNA, 133 nt
Filed under: Candidatus Aenigmatarchaeota archaeon
Lineage: Archaea; Nanobdellati; Candidatus Aenigmatarchaeota
Description: tRNA-Val
Source: RNAcentral
GGGCCGGUAGUCUAGUAAGCUUUUUGGGAAAAAGCUUAACCAAAAACUUGGAAUAUGGUUAUCUGCAAUUGCAACCACAGAUGACGCCACGCUUACAACGUGGAGACCGGCAGUUCGAUUCUGCCCUGGCCCA